Molecule: ribosomal RNA, 253 nt
Filed under: uncultured bacterium
Lineage: Bacteria
Description: partial 16S ribosomal RNA
Rfam family: Bacterial small subunit ribosomal RNA
Source: RNAcentral
UACAGAGGUGGCAAGCGUUGUUCGGAAUUACUGGGCGUAAAGGGCGCGUAGGCGGCUUGGUCAGUCCCGUGUGAAAUCCCUCGGCUCAACUGAGGAACUGCACGGGAAACUGCCUGGCUUGAGUUCGGGAGAGGGAAGCGGAAUUCCGGGUGUAGCGGUGAAAUGCGUAGAGAUCCGGAAGAACACCGGUGGCGAAGGCGGCCUGCUGGGACAGUGCUGACGCUGAGGCGCGACAGCGUGGGGAGCAAACAGG